GCCACCUUGGCGUAGUGGUAGCGCGUCGCUCUUGUACUUUGCGUGCUAAGCGAAGGUCAUUCGUUCGAUCCGGGUAGGUGGCA
This is a transfer RNA of Plicaturopsis crispa FD-325 SS-3, 83 nucleotides long. It matches the Rfam family "tRNA". Rfam says of the family: Transfer RNA (tRNA) molecules are approximately 80 nucleotides in length. Their secondary structure includes four short double-helical elements and three loops (D, anti-codon, and T loops). The record is from Rfam. NCBI's taxonomy places the organism in Eukaryota, Fungi, Basidiomycota, Agaricomycetes, Amylocorticiales, Amylocorticiaceae.